Molecule: ribosomal RNA, 522 nt
Filed under: uncultured bacterium
Lineage: Bacteria
Description: bacterial SSU rRNA
Rfam family: Bacterial small subunit ribosomal RNA
Source: RNAcentral
UCAACGCAAAGAUGCAAUAGGCAAGAGAGACAGAAAUUAAAACAAGGUACAAUACAAAAGACAUUUGAUUGAUAGAAUACAAGACAGUAUAAAACUUUGUGAAUAAAAUUGAGUGCGGGAUAGUGGCGGACGGGUGAGUAACGCGUGAAUAAUCUGCCCCAUACAGGGGGAUAGCCUCGGGAAACCGGGAUUAAAACCGCAUAACACUUUAUCACCGCAUGGUGAUGAAGUCAAAUCGAUUAAGAGGUAUGGGGAUGAGUUCGCGUCUGAUUAGCUAGUUGGCGGGGUAAAGGCCCACCAAGGCGACGAUCAGUAGCCGGCCUGAGAGGGUGACCGGCCACACUGGAACUGAGACACGGUCCAGACUCCUACGGGAGGCAGCAGUGGGGAAUAUUGCACAAUGGGGGAAACCCUGAUGCAGCGACGCCGCGUGAGUGAAGAAGGUCUUCGGAUCGUAAAACUCUGUCCUUGGUGACGAAGGAAGUGACGGUAACCAAGGAGGAAGCCCCGGCUAACUACGUG